Xylaria sp. CBS 124048 is the source of this 83-nucleotide non-coding RNA. NCBI's taxonomy places the organism in Eukaryota, Fungi, Ascomycota, Sordariomycetes, Xylariales, Xylariaceae. The record is from the annotation of a GenBank genome assembly.
GCCCCUAUGGCGUAGUGGUAGCGCGUGUCACUUGUACUCCUAGUGCUAUGACAAGGUCUCUCGUUCGAUCCGGGAUGGGGGCA